This 497-nucleotide ribosomal RNA is filed under the name uncultured bacterium. RNAcentral describes it as "partial 16S ribosomal RNA". It matches the Rfam family "Bacterial small subunit ribosomal RNA", at positions 28 to 507 of the family's 1533-position model. The record is from RNAcentral.
GACGAACGCUGGCGGCGUGCCUAAUACAUGCAAGUUGAGCGAUGAAGAUUGGUGCUUGCACCAAUUUGCAGAGCAGCGAACGGGUGAGUAACGCGUGGGGAAUCUGCCUUUGAGCGGGGGACAACAUUUGGAAACGAAUGCUAAUACCGCAUAACAACUUUAAACAUAAGUUUUAAGUUUGAAAGAUGCAAUUGCAUCACUCAAAGAUGAUCCCGCGUUGUAUUAGCUAGUUGGUGAGGUAAAGGCUCACCAGGGCGAUGAUACAUAGCCGACCUGAGAGGGUGAUCGGCCACAUUGGGACUGAGACACGGCCCAAACUCCUACGGGAGGCAGCAGUAGGGAAUCUUCGGCAAUGGACGAAAGUCUGACCGAGCAACGCCGCGUGAGUGAAGAAGGUUUUCGGAUCGUAAAACUCUGUUGGUAGAGAAGAACGUUGGUGAGAGUGGAAAGCUCAUCAAGUGACGGUAACUACCCAGAAAGGGACGGCUAACUACGUG